CUUGGUCAUUUAGAGGAAGUAAAAGUCGUAACAAGGUCUCCGUAGGUGAACCUGCGGAGGGAUCAUUACAGAGUUCGUGCCCUUACGGGUAGAUCUCCCACCCUGUGUUAUUAUACCUUUGUUGCUUUGGCGGGCCGCCCUCGGCUACCGGCCCCGGCUGGUAUGCGCCCGCCAGAGGACCCCAAACUCUGAAUGUUAGUGUCGUCUGAGUACUAUACAAUAGUUAAAACUUUCAACAACGGAUCUCUUGGUUCUGGCAUCGAUGAAGAACGCAGCGAAAUGCGAUAAGUAAUGUGAAUUGCAGAAUUCAGUGAAUCAUCGAAUCUUUGAACGCACAUUGCGCCCCUUGGUAUUCCGAGGGGCAUGCCUGUUCGAGCGUCAUUUCAACCCUCAAGCACAGCUUGGUCUUGGGCUUCGCCGCUAACCCGGCGGGUCUUAAAAUCAGUGGCGGUGCCGUCUGGCUCUAAGCGUAGUAAUUCUCUCGCUAUAGGGUCCAGGUGGUUACUUGUCAGAAUCCCCCACUUUUAUAGGUUGACCUCGGAUCAGGUAGGGAUACCCGCUGAACUUAAGCAUAUCAAUAAGCGGAGGA
RNAcentral lists this ribosomal RNA (589 nucleotides) under uncultured Helotiales. RNAcentral describes it as "eukaryotic LSU rRNA". The stretch from base 228 to 381 matches the Rfam family "5.8S ribosomal RNA". The record is from RNAcentral. Lineage: Eukaryota; Fungi; Ascomycota; Leotiomycetes; Helotiales.